GACGAACGCUGGCGGCGUGCUUAACACAUGCAAGUCGAACGGAGCGAAUGAAAGCUUGCUUUUAUAAGCUUAGUGGCAAACGGGUGAGUAACACGUAGACAACCUGCCGACAGGAUGGGGACAACAUUCCGAAAGGAAUGCUAAUACCGAAUGAAGUGCAGGGGAGGCAUCUCCCCUGCAUGAAAGAUGGCCUCUUUUUAUGCUAUCACCUGUUGAUGGGUCUGCGUCUGAUUAGCUGGUAGGUGAGGUAACGGCUCACCUAGGCGACGAUCAGUAGCCGGUCUGAGAGGAUGAACGGCCACAUUGGGACUGAGACACGGCCCAGACUCCUACGGGAGGCAGCAGUGGGGAAUCUUCCGCAAUGGGCGCAAGCCUGACGGAGCAACGCCGCGUGAGUGAAGAAGGUCUUCGGAUCGUAAAGCUCUGUUGAUGGGGACGAACGUGCCUAAUGCGAAUAGUAUUAGGUAAUGACGGUACCCAUCGAGGAAGCCACGGCUACUCUCC
Molecule: ribosomal RNA, 504 nt
Filed under: uncultured bacterium
Lineage: Bacteria
Description: bacterial SSU rRNA
Rfam family: Bacterial small subunit ribosomal RNA
Source: RNAcentral